RNAcentral lists this ribosomal RNA (433 nucleotides) under uncultured bacterium. RNAcentral's name for it is "partial 16S ribosomal RNA". It matches the Rfam family "Bacterial small subunit ribosomal RNA", at positions 29 to 507 of the family's 1533-position model. The record is from RNAcentral.
AACGAACGCUGGCGGCAUGCCUAACGCAUGCAAGUCGAACGAGACCUUCGGGUCUAGUGGCGCACGGGUGCGUAACGCGUGGGAACCUGCCCUUAGGUUCGGAAUAACUCCCCGAAAGGGGUGCUAAUACCGGAUAAUGUCUUCGGACCAAAGAUUUUUCGCGUUUGGAUGGGCCCGCGUUGGAUUAGCUAGUUGGUAGGGUAAAAGCCUACCAAUGCGACGAUCCAUAGCUGGUCUGGGAGGAUGAUCAGCCACACUGGGACUGAGACACGGACCAGACUCCGACGGGAGGGAGCGGUGGGGAAUAUUGGAGGAUGGGCGAUAGCCUGAUCCAGCAACGCCGCGUGAGUGAUGAAGGCCUUAGGGUUGUAAAGCUCUUUGAGCCGGAGUGAUAAUGACAGUACCGGGAGAAUAAGCUCCGGCUAACUCCGUG